GCUCUACCCGCUCAGCCACCUGACUCCCUGGUUAUAUAAAUAUUCACAUCAAUAUAUUAUUUCAAUGUUGUCCAGUUGCCAGAUCUUGUAUGAAACGCAUCCUACUCACAUACUACAUAGGCUAUCACACAAUUUUCAACCCAUUUGUGACCGCAACCAGAGCCCGUCUAUAUUAAACAUUCUCUGCCGCAACCUACAACCCGGUUGCGCUGUUGAUAUCUCCGCAGGUAGGCGGGAGAAUUUGAAUAAUACACGGUUGAAUUUUGAUACAGAAUCACUUGUAGAAAUGGCAAAAGUCUCAGGUGGUGCUACGGCAAAAAAAACGAAAUAUAGCUGCAAAUUAACAGUAGGCUACACAGUAGCGGACUGGCCAUCGGGAGCACCGGGAGAAUUCCCGAUGGGCCAAAGCACUUCUGGGCCCGAGGGCCGCUUGCCUUAUUGUUUUUACUACUAAUAAAAAUUUCGGUAGAAGAUUGAGCAACACGGUUGGCCAACACGGUUGGCCGGCCCCCCUUUCCUCCAGGACGGCUGGUCUACAAUGACAGAUCGAAAGCUAGCUAGUAGAGACAAUAUAAAAAUGGAAAACCAGGCCAAGAAACGUAUCUAGAAAUCUUCAGAUUUUGUUUGGGCUUGUGUAUUAGAAAUUCUCUCUCGCAAAUAUCCAACUCGGUGGAGUGAGAAGGGUGGGUGGAGUUGUCUUGUGCUGCAUUCGCUUGCAGUCGUUAUUAGAAUUGUUCUCGCAGUCGCCACAACAUUUCUUUGUUUUCAAAGCUACCGACUUGGGUGGCAGCUGGGAUGGCAAGGCUAUAUUUAGGGUGGCAGUUGCCCCUGUGUUUCCAUGUUAACCAUUUAUACAACAACCACUGGCGUGUUCAGGGAGUGGCCUAGGGUGGCACGUGCCACCCCUGAAAUCUGAUUGGCCACCCCAAGUGCCACCCCAAUAUCUUAAAAUAUGAUUGGCUAUAUACCAAGUCAGAGGCGGGCCACGGCACUGAAUGUAAACUGCACUCUUGUUUAGAGUUGCAGUUCCUUCUCAAACCUGAGAGGCAGAUAUGCGCUAAAGUAGCCUGCAAAAAAAAAGGCGCUAAGAAGAAGUUUGAACGGCAAACCUACAGGUGAAACAGUCUAUGGAAGCAACACGUCUCUGGAGCGUCGUCGUGAAAGAUGUGAGUAGCCUACAUUUGACUGCACUUACUGUGCCUGUAGUUAAAAGCUGUAACGGUAAUAAGCUAAACAUUUACCCUGUCUUGUUUUAUUUCUUUUUAUUGUAAUUGGCACAAGGCUGUCGUCAUCUCAUCUAAUUAGCAAACACUGUUUGACUGUCAACGAUGCUAAAGCUAACAUUUAGCUAUUCUGUACUGCUAACAUUGUUAUGUUAGACCCGUGUAACAUCAAUUACAUUCGUGUGUAUACACCUAUCUAUUGUACAACAUAUAAGAAUGUCGUGCAUUAGGGACUAUUACAGUAUGAAAAGAAAUCAGAAUAUAAAGGAUUUCUUCCAAAGAAAGAAAUCCAAAAUAGAGCCAGAGCAGAGCAGUCAGUCAGAGGAUGAGAGCCAGUUUGUCCUGAAACAGGCUUCAGCUGUACACAUAGGUAUGUGAAAUCCUGAUGGUUCAAGUUUGUUCUCAUGUUUGAAUUUACUCAUUUGGUUUGACUGUAACAUACCACUUAGUUUACUUAGGAAAGGCUGGUUGUAUUAUCAUUCUAAUCACAGCUUAUGUAUUAUUAUAGAGUCACAUGUGGAUGCCGGUAAAGAUGAAAGACCCUCAACAUCACAUACACAUCAGGGUUUGUAUGAAUUUACCUUCUUUAAAACAUUAUGUGCAUUGAUUCAAACUGGGAUAUUUCACUUAUACUACAGUGGCAUAAACUGUCAUUAAUCCAGAGGUUCCUGCAGGCCAUGCACAUGGGGAUAAUGGUGUGGCAGCCCCAUUUGGCGGGCUCAGACCUAUUGAGUCAAAUGAAGAUUCUUGUGAUGAAGGCCCCUUACCGUCACAUACACAGCACAGUGUGUCCAGUGCUGACAAUCAAGAGGUUCCUGCAGGCCAUGCACAAGGGGAUAGUGGUGUGGCAGCCCCUUUAAGCUGGCCCGGACCUAUUGAUAUUUCACAGUCAAGAGCAGCAGGACCCACUCAGCCCCAGUUAAAGAUGUAUCCAAAAACCAUGCAAGGGGAGAAGAGGUCGUUCAAUCCAUCUUGGUACAACACGUUUUCAUGGCUUGAGUACUCACCAAUGAAAGACUGCGCUUACUGCUAUGCAUGCAGACAGUUCUCUUUGCCUAGCACGUCAGAAUCAGUUUUCACCUCAGAAUCCGGCUUUUCAAAUUGGAAAAAAGCAAUGUAUAAAGAGGCUGGCUUUAAGGUGCAUGAAAAAUCAGAUUCUCACAUUACUGCCAUGUUAGCUUGGAGUGAACACAAGAGGGCUGCACUUACAGAUGCUUCUGUAUUAAACAUGAUCAACAAAGAGUACAAAAAGAAGGUUGAAGAGAAUCGCAGUUACAUUAAAACUGUUGCAGAAGUACUGCUUUUGACAGCCACACAAAAUAUGGCACAAAGAGGGCACUGUGAGUCUGAGCAAUCUGACAACAAAGGGAAUUUCUUAGAAGUUCUUGAAAUGAUUGCUAAACACAAUCCCAUAGUAGACCAAAAAAUGAAAGCAAAAGGCAAUGCAAAAUACACAAGCAAUACCAUACAAAAUGAAAUUCUGCAGUGCUUAGCCAGUAUGGUGCAGGAUUCCAUCGUGAAAGAAGUGAGAGUGAGGUAUUCUCCAUCAUUGCUGAUGAAACCAAAGAUCUACAAAAAAAGGAGCAGCUGUCAUUAGUACUUCGAUAUUAUUACAAUGGGGCUGUUCAUGAAAGCUUCCUUGAAUUCCAGCAUGCACAAAAUCUAGAUGCUAAGGGGCUUAGUGGCAUGAUCAUCAAGUGCUUAGAAAGCUAUGGCCUUCAGUAUAAAUCAAACCUUGUUGGACAAGGUUAUGACGGCGCCUCAGUAAUGAGUGGUAAACAUUCGGGUGUGGCAGCCAGAAUUAAGACAGAGGCUAAAACUGCGUUUUAUGUCCACUGUAAUGCGCACUGUCUAAACUUGGUCUUGGUUGACACUGUAAAGUCAGUUCCAGAGGCAGAUUGUUUCUUUUCACUGCUUGAAAAGAUCUAUGUAUACAUGUCAGGCUCUUAUGUGCACCAGAAAUUUACUUACUGUCCAGAAAGAGAUGUAUGGUGGCACACCUAGAGAGUUACAAAAAUUAAGUGACACAAGAUGGGCAUGUAGAGCAGUAUCUUGCAGGAAUUUGAUGGAUAGAUUACCAGCUGUGUUGUGUGUUCUUCAAAAUAUAAGUGAAGAAAAUUACAGAGACAGGUUCAUUGAUGCUAGAGGUCUGCUUGCACAGAUUGACCUCACAUUCAUAGGCCUUACUUGCAACCUUCCGAAAAGUUUUCGGUGACACAAAGCUGCUUUCUGACCUGUUGCAGUCACCCUCAGUUGAUUUAGCUAUGGCAGCAGAAAUGGUGGAGUCACUUCUUGAUACUUUUAGGACUAUAGGACUGAGACAUUUAGUGAUAAACUGUGGCAUGACAUAGUAGAGACAGCCAAACAGUGCAACAUAGCUGUUGGGAAUGUUGAGAAGAAAAGAGCACAUAAAGUCAGCACCAAACUUGGUGGGUCGUAUGUGACAUGUACUAUAGGCCUGCGCAAGGGUAAUGCAGACAAAGACGCAUUCAGGCUGGGACUACUCUACCCCGUCCUUGACACCUUAGUUUCUGAAAUGGAAAGAAGGUUCUCAAAAAUUAACUGUUCAGUAAUGAGAGGUAUACAGGCCUUAAAUCCUAAAAGCAGUACAUUCCUCCAGGAUGACCAGGUCUUAGACUUUGGAAAAAUAUAUGGGUGUGAUAAGGAAAAUCUUACUCAUGAGCUUCACCAGGCUAGAAGAACUUUGCCAAGGAAAGCUGAGAGUGGGGCGGCACAGUUGGGAAACAUCCUAGAUUUAACAGUGUUUUUGGAACCAUACCAAAAGGUGUUUGUUGAGCUCUUCAGGCUAUGCAAAAUAGCUCUAGCCCUCCCAGUCACCAGUGCUGCACGUGAGCGGAGUUUUUCAGCUCUAAAGCUCAUUAAAACUCAUUUGAGUACAACCAUGCUAGACAACAGACUAAGCCAUUUAGGUGUGCUAAGUAUUGAGUCAAGAAGAGCGAGGGCACUCAACAUGGAUGAUUUUAUCAAAGUGUUUGCAAGCAAACACAAGAACAGGCGAAUUGCACUGUUUUAACCCUCCUGUUUACCUCAGCUUAAUAGUCCAUGAGCCAGGGGGUUGGUCGUGCCAUUUUGGAGGGAGCAAGUCUCAUGGUGAUAUUUUUUUUGAAAGGUCUAUGUGGGACAUAGACCUAUAUACUGUUCAAGUGUACCAAGUUUCAUGUGGUUGUGAAAAAGUUAAUAUCAUUCUCACAUAUCACCUGGAUUAUAACCCACUGCUACUGAAAUGGAAUUCUCUUGACCUCAGUGUCAUGACAAUGUGACCGAUGGACAGAUUAUAGUCUAAGCUUUACAAUGAUAUAUGACUUCAUGGCAUUGUGUGUUGGUUUCCCUCUUUUAUACUGGAUCUAUGUGUAAAAUGGCAAAAAAAGAUGUGAAAAUUUGAAUGAUGUUGGCAGUUUUGUCAAGUAUAUAUUUUGCCCAAAGAGUCUUAUUUAUUUUAAUUUUGUUGGCACUUUAUACAGAAAGUGCAUUGUCUUUUUUGUAUGUACUGUAUAUCAUACCUUGGAAGGUUGUUUUGAAGCUAGAAUAAAGUAUGGUAGUUUUCAAUCA
Molecule: long non-coding RNA, 4793 nt
Organism: Hypomesus transpacificus
Lineage: Eukaryota; Metazoa; Chordata; Actinopteri; Osmeriformes; Osmeridae
Exons: 4
Source: RefSeq, a predicted model, not a curated record